GAUGAAGAACGUAGCGAAAUGCGAUAAUUAAUGUGAAUUGCAGAAUUCAGUGAAUCAUCGAAUCUUUGAACGCACAUUGCGCCCCUUGGUAUUCCGGGGGGCAUGCCUGUUCGAGCGUCAUUAUAACCCCUCAAGCUCAGCUUGGUGUUGGGGCCUGCCGACUGGCAGCCCUUAAAAUCAGUGGCGGCGCCAUCUGGCUCUAAGCGUAGUAAUUUCUCUCGCUAUAGAGUCCCGGUGGAUGCUUGCCAGCAACCCCCAACUUUCUAUGGUUGACCUCGGAUCAGGUAGGGAUACCCGCUGAACUUAAGCAUAUCAAUAAGCGGAGGA
RNAcentral lists this unclassified non-coding RNA (327 nucleotides) under soil metagenome. RNAcentral describes it as "partial contains 5.8S ribosomal RNA, internal transcribed spacer 2, and large subunit ribosomal RNA". The stretch from base 1 to 120 matches the Rfam family "5.8S ribosomal RNA", at positions 35 to 154 of the family's 154-position model. The record is from RNAcentral.